GAUAUUCACUCCAUUUAAACAUGACUUUCUUAAUAUUUGUCAUCCAUGAAAAUCAUUUAAACUGUAUGAGCUAUCUGAAAUUAUGAGACAGCAAGGAGAUGAUAGUUUCAUAAAACUUCUAAAUAAUGUACGCAUUGGAGAAGUAGGUGACAAAGAUUUGUUACUUCUUAAUUCACGAAUUGCAAAAAACAUACCAGUUGACUCGAUAUAUUUAUUUGCAGAAAAUAGUUUAAAAGACCAACUGAAUUUGUCAAAACUUAGUAAAUUAGAAGGUGAAAACAUUGUCAUUAAUUCCCUUGACAAAUUUCCUGAAAAUGUAUCAAUAUCAAAAAUCAAUCAAGCUUUGGACAGAAAUGUAAGUCAGACAAAUGGACUAUGUAAGUCAUUAAUUAUAAAGAGAAAUGCUUUGAUAAUGCUAACUAAUAAUAUUGAUAUCGAUGAUCGACUUAUCAAUGGUCAAAUUGGUCUUGUUCGUGAUAUACAAUAUAACAAUGAUGGAACCAUCCAAACUAUUUUUGUCAAAUUUAAUGACCAUCAAGCUGGAAUACUAAAAUGCGAUCUAACCAGUAUGCAUUUGAAACUCAUACAGUCCCAAUUAAAAGAAUACAAGCCAGUAUCCCAGUUUCAAUGUCAUCAGUGUCCAGCCCUGCAAUUUCUAGAACACAAUUUCCUAUCAUGUUAGCAUGGGGUUGUACUGUACAUAAAGUGCAAGGUUUAACUUUACCUAAUGUAGUGGUUUCAUUCAAGUUAUUAAAACAAAAAACUUUUAACUUCGGUCAGAUCUAUGUAGCUUUGAGCAGAGUAAAAAAAUUGGCCCAUAUUCACAUUGAGGGUAUACCAACAUUAGAAGCAUGCAGAGCUGAUCCUAAGGUUUCAGAAGAAUACACCAGACUAAAAACUGAAUCUGCUUUGUCAAUUGACAAAAUACAACCUCUUGCAGACACCUUUCAAUUUGCAUUGCUAAACAUUAGGUCACUGUCCAAACAUGCUCUUGACUUAAGUCACGACAUUCGACUAACUAAUGCAGAUGUUGUAUGCCUAACUGAGACACAGUUGUUAGAUAAUUCACUUCAUCCAACCUUGCAAGAGCAUUUUUUAGAGCAUGACUUAUUUUUGCAUAACAAUACAGAUCGAUUUAAAAGCUUAGCUUUUCUUAAAAAACAAUAUCUUCAAUGUAAUAUUUUGCGAUUGCAAAGUGCUCUAUAUCUCGAGUUUUUUUCAACCAGUGACCAUUUUAUCUCACUAAUUUUGUUUUAUAAAAGUAACAAUUGCCACCCACAGCGUUUUGCAGAUUAUGUUUCAAAUCUUGUAGAACUUCAUAAACCAGAUUUUGUGUUAGGAGAUUUUAAUUCAAAUGCACUCUGUGACAUACUUCCACCUGUUCUUACUAGGAUGAAUGAAUUAAAUUACAAACUUUUGGUCACCGAGCCAACGCAUAUACUUGGUGGUCUUAUAGAUCAUGUAUAUGUAAAUAAUGAAUUUCACAAUAUUGAAAAUUUGUCUGUUGCUAUUAUACCUGUAUAUUACUCAGAUCAUUGUGCAAUUUCUGUGCAAAUCAAACAUUGGUAGCUUGAUACAAUAUGUCUAAUAUCUUUUUGUUUAAAUUUAUUGUAUUUAUUCCAAAAUCAGGGACUUCAUUUACAUUAUAUUUAUAUAUUUAUGUCUAUUUUAUUUAUUUAUAGAUGUCGUCAGAACAGAAAACACCAAAAAAACGUCUUGAUAAUUCUAUUGUUGGGUAUGUUACGAAUGUAUCACCAAUUAAAACUGCUAAAAACAAUCCAAAGAGGAAAUACUUUGAUUUCCUUCUAAACACAGAGGACAAAAUGGAAC
RNA transcript from Hydractinia symbiolongicarpus, 1830 nucleotides. RefSeq lists it as uncharacterized. NCBI's taxonomy places the organism in Eukaryota, Metazoa, Cnidaria, Hydrozoa, Anthoathecata, Hydractiniidae. The record is from RefSeq and is a predicted model, not a curated record. The transcript is spliced from 2 exons.